GUGCCAGCCGCCGCGGUAAUACCGGCAGCCCGAGUGAUGACCGAUCUUAUUGGGCCUAAAGCGUCCGUAGCUGGCUGCGCAAGUCCGUCGGGAAAUCCACUCGCCCAACUGACGGGCGUCCGGUGGAAACUGUGUGGCUUGGGACCGGAAGACCCGAAGGGUACGUCUUGGGUAGGAGUGAAAUCCUGUAAUCCUGGACGGACCGCCGAUGGCGAAAGCACUUCGGGAAGACGGAUCCGACGGUGAGGAACGAAAGCCAGGGUCUCGAACCGGAUUAGAAACCCCUGUAGUCC
This 293-nucleotide ribosomal RNA is filed under the name uncultured bacterium. Its description in RNAcentral is "partial 16S ribosomal RNA". It matches the Rfam family "Archaeal small subunit ribosomal RNA", at positions 455 to 747 of the family's 1478-position model. The record is from RNAcentral.